RNAcentral lists this ribosomal RNA (253 nucleotides) under uncultured bacterium. RNAcentral's name for it is "partial 16S ribosomal RNA". It matches the Rfam family "Bacterial small subunit ribosomal RNA", at positions 524 to 776 of the family's 1533-position model. The record is from RNAcentral.
GACGAACCGUCCUAACGUUGUUCGGAAUCACUGGGCUUAAAGGGCGCGUAGGCGGCCUUGAAAGUCGGGGGUGAAAUCCCACGGCCUAACCGUGGAAGUGCCUCCGAUACUGCAAGGCUCGAGGGAGGUAGGGGCAGCGGGAACUUCCGGUGGAGCGGUGAAAUGCGUUGAUAUCGGAAGGAACGCCGGUGGCGAAAGCGCGCUGCUGGACCUCUGCUGACGCUGAGGCGCGAAAGCCAGGGGAGCAAACGGG